This 440-nucleotide ribosomal RNA is filed under the name uncultured bacterium. RNAcentral describes it as "partial 16S ribosomal RNA". It matches the Rfam family "Bacterial small subunit ribosomal RNA", at positions 338 to 795 of the family's 1533-position model. The record is from RNAcentral.
CCUACGGGCGGCAGCAGUGGGGAAUAUUGCACAAUGGGGGAAACCCUGAUGCAGCAACGCCGCGUGAGUGAAGAAGUAUUUCGGUAUGUAAAGCUCUAUCAGCAGGGAAGAAGAUGACGGUACCUGAAUAAGAAGCCCCGGCUAACUACGUGCCAGCAGCCGCGGUAAUACGUAGGGGGCAAGCGUUAUCCGGAUUUACUGGGUGUAAAGGGAGCGCAGACGGCAGUGCAAGUCUGGAGUGAAAGCCCGGGGCCCAACCCCGGAACUGCUCUGGAAACUGUGCGGCUAGAGUACUGGAGGGGCAGGCGGAAUUCCUAGUGUAGCGGUGAAAUGCUUAGAGAUCAUACAGAACACCGAUUGCGAAGGCAGCUUACCAAUCUAUAUCUGACGUCGAGGCACGAAAGCGUGGGGAGCAAACAGGAUUAGAUACCCUUGUAGUC